This 490-nucleotide ribosomal RNA is filed under the name uncultured bacterium. RNAcentral's name for it is "partial 16S ribosomal RNA". It matches the Rfam family "Bacterial small subunit ribosomal RNA", at positions 28 to 507 of the family's 1533-position model. The record is from RNAcentral.
GAUGAACGCUAGCUACAGGCUUAACACAUGCAAGUCGCGGGGCAGCAUGGGGGUUGCUUGCAAUCCCCGAUGGCGACCGGCGCACGGGUGAGUAACGCGUAUCCAACCUGCCCUUCACCACGGGAUAACCCGGCGAAAGUCGGACUAAUACCGUAUGUUGUCCAUUGACGGCAUCCGAUUUGGACGAAAGGGUUGGCGGUGUAGGAUGGGGAUGCGUCCGAUUAGCUGGACGGCGGGGUGACGGCCCACCGUGGCGACGAUCGGUAGGGGUUCUGAGAGGAAGGUCCCCCACACUGGAACUGAGACACGGUCCAGACUCCUACGGGAGGCAGCAGUGAGGAAUAUUGGUCAAUGGGCGUAAGCCUGAACCAGCCAAGUAGCGUGCAGGAUGACGGCCCUAUGGGUUGUAAACUGCUUUUAUGCGGGGAUAAAGUGGCCCACGUGUGGGUUUUUGCAGGUACCGCAUGAAUAAGGACCGGCUAAUUCCGUG